RNAcentral lists this unclassified non-coding RNA (352 nucleotides) under Hevea brasiliensis (rubber tree). The record is from RNAcentral. Lineage: Eukaryota; Viridiplantae; Streptophyta; Magnoliopsida; Malpighiales; Euphorbiaceae.
UCAAUGUCAGCCUAACAAGUCCAUAUUCACACAGAAUCACACAAAGCUAACCAACAUAAUCAGAUAAAUCAUAAGUGUAACCUGUACAAAUUUGAUGCCCAGCAAUAUUCAUAUCAUAAAAGUUCACUGCCCUAACUUCUAUAAACUUUAUAUGAAAUCAGCAAAUUCUUCAUAAAAUCCAUGAAACUAAUAGGUUAGACCUCGUACUCAGUUAAAUGAUAAAUUAUUCUGUAUUGUGACAAAAUUUUGAGGCCACGGAAAAAAGUCAAAACACAAAACAGCAUUUGAGGCUGGAAAGCGGCCAACGCUACCAUCAUCAUUUUCUAGAGAUCUAUCACGCAACAUAUAUAAG